AUGCCAGUUCUACCCUCCCCGAAUUGGAAAGAUUUUAAAUUACCCAUUGGUAAUUACUCCUCUGAUCAAUGUUGUAACCAGGAUCACCAGUCCAAAGUUAUCCUCAAAUCAGUUCUUGGUCACAGUACACCAAAAAAUAGACCUAAAAAGGGAACAAUAUACAACACAAAAUCGAUGUCUUUAGACUCAUAUUCAAAACUACCAAUGUACGAUUGCGGUUUUGUAACACAUAGGUUUCAUAUUAAUGGAGCAAAUGUUGGUCAAAGUUUGUCUCAACUAACUAAAAAAGAAAAUACUCCCUUUAAAUCCAUACUGCCAGAGUUGAUUAUAAAGCAUGACAAAGCAAAUUACAGGAAUAGUGAAUUGUUCUACUGUACAAACAAAUUAAAUCUUUGA
RNAcentral lists this ribosomal RNA (396 nucleotides) under Triticum aestivum (bread wheat). RNAcentral's name for it is "partial small subunit ribosomal RNA". The record is from RNAcentral. Lineage: Eukaryota; Viridiplantae; Streptophyta; Magnoliopsida; Poales; Poaceae.